GUUCCCGCCGGUCAUCCCAGCACUCUGGGAGGCUGAGGCAGGAGGAUCGCGUACGUGUUGCAGCUCAGUCUGGACAAUUUAGCAAUUUAGCGAGACCCUGGGGACUCAGCUCAGCGCGAAGGCCCUGCGUUCCGUCCCUGGUGGGGCCCAGACUGCGUCCCUUUCUGCUGGCCUAAGGGGGAGGAGCAGCCUGGCGGGGCGGGCUCGGCUCCGCUCCCGGGUGGAAGGGGCGCUGACCCCACAAGGCGGCCCCGGGUCACACCCUCCUGCCCCGCAGAGCCGGCUGCAGACGGAGCUGAAGGCGCUGGAGACGGAGAGGGACGAGGCGAGAGCGCAGGGGGCCCGGCUGGGGGUCGAGAACGGGGCGCUGACAGNNNCCCUGGCGCGCUGGGAGGCGGCGGCCACGGAGGCUGCGCGGCAGCGGGAGGAGGCGCAGCAGCGCGCAGGCGCAGCCGAGGCGGAAGGCGAAGCCUGCGCUGCCCGGGAGGUGGUGCUACGCGAGCACGUCUCCGCCCUGGAAGCCGCGCUGAGCACCCCGCGCCGAGGACCCCGGACCCGCUCCGGGUCGCCAUCCCGAUCCCGGCCGCGCGCUCGGCCUGGGUCCUCCCGGCCCUCCCGAGGCUGCCGGCGGCCACCGCGGCGCGUGCGGGGCUGAGCAGCGCAACCACGCGGGGCCCUGCAGAGACAGGCUCGCGGGUGGCCAGCGGGACGACAUCCACGCCCAGCCCCAGACAGCCAGCGCCCGAAGGAGAACUGCACGGAGAGAAGCCUCAGCCUCAGCGCCCUCUCCUCGACCAUCGCUCCUCGGCCCCCCGACGGGGACCCUGAGACCCACCGAGUCCCACGGUGACAUCAGGGCCCGCUUGAGGCUGACCCUAGAAGAAGGGGUCAGCGCAAUCAGGACCCAGAAACAAGAGGUGCACAGAACGCCGGUGCAGUGGCACACACCAGUCAUCCCAGCACUUAGGAGGCUGAGGCAGGAGGGUCGCAGCGAGUUGGAGGCUGGCCUGGGCUUCGUAAGGCGACCCUGCCUCAAAACACACGCACACACCAGAAAUUGAGGUCUGUUUAAAAAAUCCGUGUCCGUCCCUCUGUGAAGUGCAAUAUUAUUCAACCGUUUAAAGGCCCGAGAAGAGCUCGCCCAAAUCCAGCACAUGAAAAGCCCGGAGGGGCCCCCUGUGUACACUCACAGCUCGCGUGGGCUCCGGAGGCUUCUGCCAGGACACCGCGGGAGGAUCCUGGUCACCGGCACGGCUCGCGAGGGAAUCGGGCUUAGGGGCUGGUGGGAGGGUCUCACGUUUCUGCCUAGCCUUUUUUUUGUAUCCUUUUUUAUACAAUUUGCAUUUUAAAAAAAAAAAAUAGCACCUGCAUUGCCUUUUAAAAGUGAAAAAUUUUAAAAGCCUUAAAAAGUCCUGUGAGGCAGGCGCCGGAGGGGAGUGGGCUCCUCUGCUGAUCGACACCCUGCAGCUGUGCCGCCCCGGCCGCACCCGCCCGGGCCUGGGGUGCGGGUCCCGGAGCUCACCCGAGGGCGGGGCUGGCCGGGAGCGAGGGAGGAGGGGAGAAAAAAAGCGCGACCGGACGCUGUGGCGCACCGCUGUCGCCCCAGCACUCGC
Molecule: long non-coding RNA, 1613 nt
Organism: Chinchilla lanigera (long-tailed chinchilla)
Lineage: Eukaryota; Metazoa; Chordata; Mammalia; Rodentia; Chinchillidae
Source: Ensembl